RNAcentral lists this ribosomal RNA (301 nucleotides) under uncultured bacterium. RNAcentral's name for it is "partial 16S ribosomal RNA". It matches the Rfam family "Bacterial small subunit ribosomal RNA", at positions 509 to 807 of the family's 1533-position model. The record is from RNAcentral.
CAGUCGCCGCGGUAAAACGUAGGUGGCAAGCGUUGUCCGGAAUUAUUGGGCGUAAAGGGCUCGCAGGCGGUUUCUUAAGUCUGAUGUGAAAGCCCCCGGCUCAACCGGGGAGGGUCAUUGUAAACUGGGAAACUUGAGUGCAGAAGAGGAGAGUGGAAUUCCACGUGUAGCGGUGAAAUGCGUAGAGAUGUGGAGGAACACCAGUGGCGAAGGCGACUCUCUGGUCUGUAACUGACGCUGAGGAGCGAAAGCGUGGGGAGCGAACAGGAUUAGAUACCCCUGUAGUCCCUGUCUCUUAUAC